Molecule: non-coding RNA, 1455 nt
Organism: Ciona intestinalis (vase tunicate)
Lineage: Eukaryota; Metazoa; Chordata; Ascidiacea; Phlebobranchia; Cionidae
Source: RefSeq, a predicted model, not a curated record
UAUUCUGCAUCGAGUACCUUUUAUGUUUGUGUAUUAAUCAUGUUUAAGGAAAAUUUCGUUUCGAAAUUUUGGAGAGCCAUGUUAUUGGCGUGCAGUUAUUUUACCCAAAAGUCUAUCAAAUUAAGUUAUGUUCCGGUUCUCUCUUUUUGUUACGUCAUCGCCUUUUUUCUCUUGCAUUCUCUUUGUUCAUUACGUGGCAAUUUCAGUUUAGUUGAUCCUUAAGUGAUUUGAAUGAACGUUGGUGCUAAACUUCUGUAGUGAACGGAAGUAGUUUAUAGCCACAAAUUUUCAGUUACCGCAAUCCGCAAUCCGCAAUCCGCAAUCCGCAAUCCACAAAUAAUACAAUUAAAAGAUUUGCGCGUUUGACUGAUUGGCUAUAACACCAACGAAGAAAAAAAAUAAAAAGAGACAGAGUCCAGAAGACCUGCCCAAUAACAAGAGUUUUUAACAAUUGUUUUUGAGGGUUUCAGGAUACAGAUAUGAGAUUACAGACACGUCUGCGUUUUUAAAAGACGCAAUACUUAGAAGUGUGUCGCUUGCUUUAAAACCGGCGUGGGAAGAGGGAAUAGGUGUUUGUUUAUUUGUUAAUGCUUAAGUGCAUUGGCAUUUCUAAACGGGUAAUUAUGUGAGGUGUAAAACGAGAUGCUGCCAUGCCUUACGUUUAUAAAGAAAAGCGUAUUGUGUAGUCAAAGAAAUUUUUCCCCUUAUUUAUAGUUGCGCUAUUAACCAAUUGACGCCUUUAUGUGUUUGCUGGCAAAUAAUAUCCCCGUUUGAAUAAUUACUAGAAACUGCAUGGCACAUACAUAAAGUGCUUAUAUUAAAUUAAAGAAACACUUACUGUAUGACAACCAGUUAACCAUUAACACUGCGAUUACAUUGUGUAUAUAGAUACAAGGAAUUCUAGCGGUGCAAUAAACUAGCGAGUCGAACCAAAGGAAUGCGUUAAAUUUGUAACGGCAAAUACAUAACAUGGUAAACUGAAAACUGGAAUGUGACUGUUUUGAAUUAACACUUGGUCCGAUUUUGCUUCUAAGUGCAACUAAAAUACACCUAGGCCCUUAAGGGUAAAAGCCUAAUACAAUAUUUCAUUUAAGGUAGGUAUUUAUAGUUUUUUUCGACAAUUUUUUAAACUUUUUUCGCCAUUUUUUUGGGCCCGAAAGGGUAAAAAUUUAAUCAAAGAUGGUUUAAAAACUUUAAAAGAUCGUAAAGUAUAAACCCACGUGUGAGUGUGGCGUAAUUUUGCGUUCGACGAGCAUUAAAUAACAUAUAUUUCCGCCGGCCUGAGAAUUUGAGCAAUCAAACGUUUUUAUAAUUUAUUUACCAAACCUUACUUAAGUAUAUUUGGAUGUGAAAGUCGGUUCAUGAGUUGUACUUCACGUAAUAUGUUCAUCUUUGUAUUUGUGUCUCUGUUCCUCUUCAGUACCAUUACCUUCCCUGUGAGUUUGUGGGUGACCU